GACGAACGCUGGCGGCGUGCCUAAUACAUGCAAGUCGAGCGAGCUUGCCUAGAUGAAUUUGGUGCUUGCACCAAAUGAAACUAGAUACAAGCGAGCGGCGGACGGGUGAGUAACACGUGGGUAACCUGCCCAAGAGACUGGGAUAACACCUGGAAACAGAUGCUAAUACCGGAUAACAACACUAGACGCAUGUCUAGAGUUUAAAAGAUGGUUCUGCUAUCACUCUUGGAUGGACCUGCGGUGCAUUAGCUAGUUGGUAAGGUAACGGCUUACCAAGGCAAUGAUGCAUAGCCGAGUUGAGAGACUGAUCGGCCACAUUGGGACUGAGACACGGCCCAAACUCCUACGGGAGGCAGCAGUAGGGAAUCUUCCACAAUGGACGCAAGUCUGAUGGAGCAACGCCGCGUGAGUGAAGAAGGGUUUCGGCUCGUAAAGCUCUGUUGGUAGUGAAGAAAGAUAGAGGUAGUAACUGGCCUUUAUUUGACGGUAAUUACUUAGAAAGUCACGGCUAACUACGUGCCAGCAGCCGCGGUAAUACGUAGGUGGCAAGCGUUGUCCGGAUUUAUUGGGCGUAAAGCGAGUGCAGGCGGUUCAAUAAAUCUGAUGUGUAAGCCUUCGGCUCAACUGGAGAAUUGCAUUCAGAAAAUUGUUGAACUAAGUGUAGAAGAGG
RNAcentral lists this ribosomal RNA (670 nucleotides) under uncultured Lactobacillus sp. Its description in RNAcentral is "bacterial SSU rRNA". It matches the Rfam family "Bacterial small subunit ribosomal RNA", at positions 28 to 657 of the family's 1533-position model. The record is from RNAcentral. Lineage: Bacteria; Bacillati; Bacillota; Bacilli; Lactobacillales; Lactobacillaceae.